RNAcentral lists this long non-coding RNA (1115 nucleotides) under Homo sapiens (human). RNAcentral's name for it is "non-protein coding lnc-ART5-1:4". The record is from RNAcentral. Lineage: Eukaryota; Metazoa; Chordata; Mammalia; Primates; Hominidae.
AAGCCCCGAGGCAGGGAUGGCCGGCCCAGGAGGGAGGAGGACGACGUCCCUCCCGAGGAGAAGAGGCUGCGGCUGUUGCUGGAGGGGGGAAGCGCACAGCCCGAGGACGGGGAGGACGCGCCGCGGCCGGGCAGGAAGGAGACCGGCACCCAGACAGGUGGCGACGGCAGAGGAAUCCUUCUUAGAAAUUCCUAAGGCUCAAUGCUGUGUGGAAGAUUCUGAGAAAAAAAAUAGUUUCCGAUCUUUGGGAUUCCCGAGAUGGUCCAAUCUGCAAAAAGUUCAUUGCCAUUUCCAUCAAGGACACUGAGAACAAGAGUCUUAUCUGGAUUAGAUCCUGGGAAUUGAGAAGCUUCAGCAGGGCUUCCGCUGGGACUAGGAUCAGGAUGUGGACACCCCCAACCUGGACCGUCUGGCCGGGGAGGGCGUCAAGGCCAAGUACCUCAUGCCGCCCCUUGUCACAAUGACCUCCCCAUCCCACUUCACUGCCAUCCCAGGUAAGCGUCACUCUGCCCAUUUCACCCAAUGCCCAUCAAAGCCCCAGCGUCCGUCAUUCCCUAUGAUAAGAAGCAAAAGCUCGGUCAGCUCUAGAGAAGCUGAGGCGGCUCCAGGGUCUCACUCUGUUGCCCAGGCUGUAGCUCAGUGGCAUAAUCACAGGUCAGUGGAGCCUCAAACUCCUGGUCUCAAGCAGUCCUCCCUAGCUCAGGCUCCCCAGUAGCUGGGGCUACAGACAAGCCACAGUGUCUAAUUUUCUCAUUUUCUUAGAAAUUGGGGCAGGGGGUGUCUCACUAUGUUGUCUGGGCUUUUUGCCUGUGCCUUCUGCCCUGCUCCCUCCAGCCCCAGGGCCUUGCUUAUCCUCUGCUCAUCCAGUCCCUCCAGCUCACCAGGAGCAUGCAGUCCAGUCGGGGAGACAGACACCAGACACCCAAACAGGCACAUACAUCCCGUGACAACUCAGGAGGCAUCAAGGAGGAAAACGAGUUUUCCAGGCACUGACUACAGGGGUAAACUGGCUUCAAACUAGAGAGGGAGAAAGGGGGUCUCUGAGCAUGGGGCAGUUGAGCUGAAAGAGAUCUCAGGGGACCAGAGCAAGCAAAAGUGUUCCAGGCAGAGGGAAG